Molecule: ribosomal RNA, 462 nt
Filed under: uncultured bacterium
Lineage: Bacteria
Description: bacterial SSU rRNA
Rfam family: Bacterial small subunit ribosomal RNA
Source: RNAcentral
UGGAGGCAGCAGUGAGGAAUUUUGGACAAUGGGGGCAACCCUGAUCCAGCCAUUCCGCGUGAGUGAAGAAGGCCUUCGGGUUGUAAAGCUCUUUCGGCAGGAACGAAACGGCGCGCUCUAACAUAGUGCGUCAAUGACGGUACCUGAAGAAGAAGCACCGGCUAACUACGUGCCAGCAGCCGCGGUAAUACGUAGGGUGCGAGCGUUAAUCGGAAUUACUGGGCGUAAAGCGUGCGCAGGCGGUUUUGUAAGACAGAUGUGAAAUCCCCGGGCUUAACCUGGGAACUGCGUUUGUGACUGCAAGACUUGAGUGCGGCAGAGGGGGGUGGAAUUCCACGUGUAGCAGUGAAAUGCGUAGAGAUGUGGAGGAACACCGAUGGCGAAGGCAGCCCCCUGGGUCGACACUGACGCUCAUGCACGAAAGCGUGGGUAGCAAACAGGAUUAGAUACCCCGGUAGUCCU